GCUGGGCACAGAGGUGCACGCCUGUAAUCCCAGUGGCUUGGGAAGCUGAGGCAGGAGGAUCUCGAAUUCAAAGCCAGCCUCAGCAACUUAAGCCCUAAGCAACUCAGUGAAACCCUGUCUCUA
Molecule: small RNA, 123 nt
Filed under: Marmota monax (woodchuck)
Lineage: Eukaryota; Metazoa; Chordata; Mammalia; Rodentia; Sciuridae
Source: RNAcentral